GCGUGAGUGAUGAAGGUUCUCGGAUCGUAAAGCUCUGUUGCCAAGGAAGAACGGCUCGGAGAGUAACUGCUCUGAGCAUGACGGUACUUGAGAAGAAAGCCCCGGCUAACUACGUGCCAGCAGCCGCGGUAAUACGUAGGGGGCAAGCGUUGUCCGGAAUUAUUGGGCGUAAAGCGCGCGCAGGCGGUUUGGUAAGUCUGGUGUUUAAGCCCGGGGCUCAACCCCGGUUCGCAUCGGAAACUGUCAAACUUGAGUGCAGGAGAGGAAAGCGGAAUUCCACGUGUAGCGGUGAAAUGCGUAGAGAUGUGGAGGAACACCAGUGGCGAAGGCGGCUUUCUGGACUGUAACUGACGCUGAGGCGCGAAAGCGUGGGGAGCAAACAGGAUUAGAUACCCUGGUAGUCCACGCCGUAAACGAUGAGUGCUAGGUGUCGGGGGUUUCGAUACCCGCGGUGCCGAAGUUAACACAGUAAGCACUCCGCCUGGGGAGUACGCUCGCAAGAGUG
Molecule: ribosomal RNA, 505 nt
Filed under: uncultured Bacillota bacterium
Lineage: Bacteria; Bacillati; Bacillota
Description: bacterial SSU rRNA
Rfam family: Bacterial small subunit ribosomal RNA
Source: RNAcentral